UACGUAGGGUGCAAGCGUUAAUCGGAAUUACUGGGCGUAAAGCGUGCGCAGGCGGUGAUGUAAGACAGAUGUGAAAUCCCCGGGCUUAACCUGGGAAUGGCAUUUGGGACUGCAAGGCUUGAGUGCGGCAGAGGAGACUGGAAUUCCCGGUGUAGCAGUGAAAUGCGUAGAUAUCGGGAGGAAUACCGAUGGCGAAGGCAGGUCUCUGGGCUGACACUGACGCUCAUGCACGAAAGCGUGGGGAGCAAACAGG
This 253-nucleotide ribosomal RNA is filed under the name uncultured bacterium. Its description in RNAcentral is "partial 16S ribosomal RNA". It matches the Rfam family "Bacterial small subunit ribosomal RNA", at positions 524 to 776 of the family's 1533-position model. The record is from RNAcentral.